This 406-nucleotide ribosomal RNA is filed under the name uncultured bacterium. RNAcentral describes it as "partial 16S ribosomal RNA". It matches the Rfam family "Bacterial small subunit ribosomal RNA", at positions 30 to 526 of the family's 1533-position model. The record is from RNAcentral.
AUUGAACGCUGGCGGCAGGCCUAACACAUGCAAGUCGAGCGGAGUGGCGGACGGGUGAGUAAUGCCUAGGAAUCUGCCUGUAGUGGGGGAUAACGUUCCGGAACGGGCCCUAAUACCGCAUACCAACCGAUGUGCCUAGGUGGGAUUAGCUAGUUGGUGGGGUAAAGGCCUACCAAGGCGACGAUCCGUAACUGGUCUGAGAGGAAGAUCAGUCACACUGGAACUGAGACACGGUCCAGACUCCUACGGGAGGCAGCAGUGGGGAAUAUUGGACAAUGGGCGAAAGCCUGAGCCAGCCAUGCCGCGUGUGUGAAGAAGGUCUUCGGAUUGUAAAGCACUUUAAGUUGGGAGGCGUUACCAACAGAAUAAGCACCGGCUAACUUCGUGCCAGCAGCCGCGGUAAUAC